This 468-nucleotide ribosomal RNA is filed under the name uncultured bacterium. Its description in RNAcentral is "partial 16S ribosomal RNA". It matches the Rfam family "Bacterial small subunit ribosomal RNA", at positions 28 to 523 of the family's 1533-position model. The record is from RNAcentral.
GAUGAACGCUGGCGGCGUGCCUAACACAUGCAAGUCGUGCGAUUUACUUCGGUAAAGAGCGGCGGACGGGUGAGUAACGCGUGGGUAACCUGCCCUGUACACACGGAUAACAUACUGAAAGGUAUGCUAAUACGGGAUAACAUAAGAGAGUCGCAUGGCUUUCUUAUCAAAGCUUUUGCGGUACAGGAUGGACCCGCGUCUGAUUAGCUAGUUGGUAAGGUAACGGCUUACCAGGGCGACGAUCAGUAGCCGACCUGAGAGGGUGAUCGGCCACAUUGGAACUGAGACACGGUCCAAACUCCUACGGGAGGCAGCAGUGGGGAAUAUUGCACAAUGGGCGAAAGCCUGAUGCAGCAACGCCGCGUGAGCGAUGAAGGCCUUCGGGUCGUAAAGCUCUGUCCUCAAGGAAGAUAAUGACGGUACUUGAGGAGGAAGCCCCGGCUAACUACGUGCCAGCCGCCGCGGUAA